AAUAGAUACCCUGGUAGUCCCAGCCGUAAACGAUGCUCGCUAGGUGUCAGGCAUGGCGCGACCGUGUCUGGUGCCGCAGGGAAGCCGUGAAGCGAGCCACCUGGGAAGUACGGCCGCAAGGCUGAAACUUAAAGGAAUUGGCGGGGGAGCACAACAACGGGUGGAGCCUGCGGUUUAAUUGGACUCAACGCCGGACAACUCACCGGGGACGACAGCAAUAUGUAGGCCAGGCUAAAGACCUUGCCUGAAUCGCUGAGAGGAGGUGCAUGGCCGUCGCCAGUUCGUACUGUGAAGCAUCCUGUUAAGUCAGGCAACGAGCGAGACCCGUGCCCACUGUUACCAGCAUGUCCUCCGGGACGAUGGGUACUCUGUGGGGACCGCCGAUGUUAAAUCGGAGGAAGGUGCGGGCUACGGUAGGUCAGUAUGCCCCGAAUUUCCCGGGCUACACGCGGGCUACAAUGAAUGGGACAAUGGGUCCCUACCCCGAGAGGGGUUGGUAAUCUCCCAAACCCAUCCAUAGUUCGGAUCGAGGGCUGUAACUCGCCCUCG
Molecule: ribosomal RNA, 549 nt
Filed under: uncultured bacterium
Lineage: Bacteria
Description: bacterial SSU rRNA
Rfam family: Archaeal small subunit ribosomal RNA
Source: RNAcentral